Molecule: ribosomal RNA, 254 nt
Filed under: uncultured bacterium
Lineage: Bacteria
Description: partial 16S ribosomal RNA
Rfam family: Bacterial small subunit ribosomal RNA
Source: RNAcentral
UACGGGGGGGGCGAGCGUUGUUCGGAAUCACUGGGCGUAAAGGGCGCGUAGGCGGCCCGCACAAGUCUGGGGUGAAAACCCCCGGCUUAACCGGGGGCCGGCCGUGGAAACUGUCGGGCUAGAGGCCGGGAGAGGGCAGCGGAAUUCCCGGUGUAGCGGUGAAAUGCGUAGAGAUCGGGAGGAACACCGGCGGCGAAGGCGGCUGCCUGGACCGGCCCUGACGCUGAGGCGCGAAAGCGUGGGGAGCAAACAGG